RNAcentral lists this ribosomal RNA (497 nucleotides) under uncultured bacterium. RNAcentral's name for it is "partial 16S ribosomal RNA". It matches the Rfam family "Bacterial small subunit ribosomal RNA", at positions 28 to 507 of the family's 1533-position model. The record is from RNAcentral.
GAUGAACGCUGGCGGCGUGCCUAAUACAUGCAAGUCGAGCGAACAGACGAGGAGCUUGCUCCUUCGACGUUAGCGGCGGACGGGUGAGUAACACGUAGGUAACCUACCUAUAAGACUGGGAUAACUUCGGGAAACCGGAGCUAAUACCGGAUAAUAUUUCGAACCGCAUGGUUCGAUAGUGAAAGAUGGCUUUGCUAUCAUUUAUAGAUGGACCUGCGCCGUAUUAGCUAGUUGGUCAGGUAACGGCUUACCAAGGCAACGAUACGUAGCCGACGUGAGAGGUUGCUCGGCCACACUGGAACUGAGACACCGUCCCGACUCCAACGGGAGGCCGCAGUAGGGAAUCUUCCGCAAUGGGCGAAAGCCUGACGGAUAAACGCAGCGUGAGUGAUGAAGGUCUUCGGAUCGUAAAACUCUCUUAUUAGGGAAGAACAAACGUGUAAGUAACUAUGCACGUCUUGACGGUACCUUAUCAGAAAGCCACGGCUAACUACGUG